GCCUAGUUUUCAAAGACAGAACUUAUGAAUAAUGUUUUUAAAACUUGACUGUUCUUAAUAUACUACUGUUCAAGAGAUGGCUUAUUCUCAAACCCAAAUAUUCUGUGAAGUCAGAAGGCAAAAUAAGGAUAAACUUUCUUAGUUAAAAGGCAAGUCUUUAAACUGAAAACUUUUUAACUGGCAAUUUCAGUAUCUGCCAUAAAUAGUGCUUUAAUUGAGGUUGGAAGUGCACAAAUCAGUCAGUCUACUGUUCUGUCUUUAUGCCACACCUAUUACAUGUAAGUAGAGUUCUGAGUAUCUGUUACUUCUCAGAGUAGUUAUUUGCAGCAAAUAUCACAGUUUGUAAGCAUAUUUGUGGUAAAGGUUGUUAUGACAUAGCUAUUAUAAGAACAGUGUUAGUAUCAUGUAUAAACAUGAAACACCUAUAAAAGAACCUUUCACCUAUGAACUGUAGUGGUGUAAUAUUUUUGACCCACUGAAAUUCACUUUAUCAAAUACAAGAUUACCAAACCACAAACUCUGGUUGCUUGAAGGAAAAUGGCUGAGUGAUUGGGCAAUUUUAACUAUAUUGGCUUAAAAUCCCUAUUGCUGAUACAAUGUAAAGUUUUUUUUCUCUUUGAUUUUUUUUUUUCUUUUUAUGUGCAGGCUUGUAGAGCUUAAAAGAAAAGAGGCUUUUUAAUAGUAUUUUUUAGGAAAAUGUAAAAAUGCCAGAUAGUAUACAAAAUUUGCUCAGACUUGUAAUCCAUAGACAUUAUAAAAGGUAUUUGAAGGUAAGUCAGUAAGUGUUCUGCCUUUUACUUCUGCUGACACAGCUAAGGUUUUAGUGGGUAGCGUUAUGUUUCUGUAGACUAGUCUAAACAUAGGAGUUUGGGUUUUCCACAGAUACAACAUGUAAUUCCACUGAAAGAUGCUAAAUAUAAGUUCUUUCAUUGUAUCUCUGGUAUCAAAGUUCUGCUUUUCAAAUACUUUUCUAAACCUGAACUCUUCCUUUUUGUAGGGUGGAAUAGAAGAGUCAUUAUUCAGCUACUGUGCUGAGUAAGGCCACCUCCUCGGUCACACAAACAGUAGCUGUAAAACUCAGAGAAAAGGUUUUAAUGCUAGUGCCAUUUUGUCCUAGCCUUUGAGAUGUCAAUUAUUAGAAACAUGUUUACUCUUAAAAAGGUGUAUUCUAGACAUAUGUUCUAAUACCUGUGAUUUAGGUUUUUUUCUGGAGCAGAGAGCUCUUGUUGCCUCAGUUUUGACAAUGCACAUAAGGCAUGCUCUUAAUGCCGAUAAAUGAUGUCUGGCCUUACCCAGCUCGAGAGAAGAGCAAGUGCUGAAGAGGCUUAUGCUUCUUAAGUUCUAUAUAUUUGCACAGCAGAGGUAGGCUUGCAAGCUAGAUUUUUAGUUGAUAUACCUCUGAGUAAUAGAGAUAUGGCUCUACUUUCAUCUGUGUUCUGCAGUAUGGGGAACCUGGGAUGCGCUGCGUGCCAGCUGUAACCCAGCUCCCAUGUAGGUACAUCCCUUUCUGGGAACCUCAGAAGUAGAACACCUCACUCAGGCACAUGAAUGUCGCACUGUUGGUUUAUGCUGAUGUGGAUGUGGCAUAUAUUGGAGAAUAUAAAGGCAACUUCUGUAAGCUGAUCUUCCUACUACCCUGUUGUGGUUUUUUGUUUUUUUUUUUUCCCCUUCUUCCUGUUAGUCUUGUAAUUCUUCAUCUUCCAUCCAGUGCCUGAAUUAGUCUCUCUGUUUACAUAUGUAUCUUACUUGCUUGGCUUAGCUGUAAGUUGAAACUCUAGGUUUGCAUCUGCAGUCUUUUUCUACUGUCUUUUCACUGGGAGGUGGGGGGAGUGCUUUAUUUUGAAAUAAUCUUUGAUGCUUGUACUGUGAGGUGACUUGGGCCUGUGAAAAUACUUUUCCCAGCAAGUUUUCAGAGGAAUGUCUCUCUUCUUACCCAUUUGGAAAAAUUUAUGCUCCUUCUAAUUCUCUACCUCUAAAGCAAAUUCUCCCUAUGAGAAGAUAAGAUAGGUUUCUCAACUAGAAGCUUUGAUUUCAGGGGCAUAUUUGCAUUUUACAGUAUGUAUUUCAAGGAUCAACCUAUAUCAGGUAUCUAGAGUACUUGUCUGUGUCCUUUUCUUUGUACCAUAGUGAUUUCUAAACUAAGAACACCACCACCAUGUAAUUGCAGUUCUAAAUUACAAUCCCUAUUUAUAACUCACUGUGGCAGGGUCAGCCUUGUUUCCUGAAGAGUUGCUUCUGUGCUAUCCCUUAACUGAAAAUCAUAGGAAAUGUAGUUUUUCCAGUUUUAAAGUAUUUUGCUUUGAAAGUGUAAGUUUGGAAAGCAAGUAGCUUAUAUGGAUGCUAAGUGGAUUUCAUUGAAUUGUUGUCACAACCGUGCAUCCUAAAGUUUCUUCCCCACCCCCCACCCCCAUCAUUCAGAAUUUGAAUUUUAGGCUGCUGUCAAGAAUGUAAUAGAAAUGUGUGAAUCAAAGUUACUUAGUAUUGUCUGGCUUUGUAGCAUUUAAAAAAAAAAAAAGUCACAAAUGUGGUAGUUGGUCCCAGACUUAAGAGCUUAUAAUGCUAUUUCUGUUGAUGUAGGGCAGGAAAAAAGAAAUUGUCUGCUUUGAUAAUUUGUUCAGUAUUUAUUCUGAUAAAAAUCUUGCUUUGUUGGAAUGUCUGUUCUGGAACAAAUCGUUCUAUGCUACUUGUAUAAAUUAGUCUAUUGUAUUUAGUUGAGGUCCCCUUAACUUGCCAUGUAACAAAAUUUACUAGGCUACAAUAGCAAUGAGUGAAAGAUUGGGUGAACCGUUAAGCUUUCUUAGAUUACUAUUAUUAUUUUUUUAAAGCAGACAGAUAAAUGGGACUUGAGUUGUGUGCACACAGUCCUUGCUGUUUGCAGACAAGCUAAAACUACAAAGGGAUAAAAAUCCCAAAGAGCAGUUGAGAUUUGUUUGUCUUCAUUGGAUUUAUGCAUUGCAAAAGAAAUAGAGGAAAACUAUAGAAUAUGUUAAUAAACCUAGAUUUUAAAUUUCGUGAUUGUGUGAUAAUGCUUGUAGGUGUGGAACACUGCAAAAAGCCCAGAUGCUAGGUAGGGGCUAAUAGAAUUUUUUUUUUUUUUUUUUACUUUAAUGUUCUUAAAUAUCAUGAAUAUACCAUUAAAGAUGACCUAAAAUGAAACUCAUUAAGUUACAAUUCAGCUUUUCUAGCAGCUUUCUUCUAUUCUGAGCAUCUCUCCAACUCAUUUUAGAUUGCCUCAUGGGCUGUUGUACCUUUUGCUCAACAUUACAGCCCUGUUAGGAUUAGCCAGUCAGGAUUCCUUAUUUGUUAGGCAGAGGAUUAACAGGGCUGCCUCCCAGCAAGCCUGCAAGCAGGUAAAGAGGCGCUUUACUUUUCUAGGAUUAAUGAGUUUAAAACCAUCCAGGUUAGGAUUCAUGCUUCAUGUUUCAGGGAGGUUUUUAAAGGUAAAUGAAACUUGUCAUGGAACGCAGGAGCACUCCACCACAUAGUUUAUGGAGCUCUUACAACUCAAAAACAUAGGGCUAAAAGUAUAAUUUGUGUUAACAGGUGGGCUUUCAGCCUCAAAGAGCCUGAAAACUUCUGAAAGCCAAAACAGUCACUCUGACUUUCUAACUUACUGUGAAUUGGAGAGGUCCAUACAUUAGCAUUUCAAAAUGCAACCAGUUGUGUAAUAUGGUGUGGUUACUAUUUUGAAAAAUCAAAAUACAGAGAUUUGAAUAACUAGCUAAAAGGUAUAUGGCUGUUCUUCUGAAUGAAGUCAUCUGGUUUUAUGCUUGUCUAGGUUUUUAGUGAAGUAAACCAGUUUAAUAAUUCAGUCAUUGCUGACUAAGUUUAAAAAAACUUGAUAUUAAAACAGUUAAGUUGCUACAGAAUUUUAUGUGGAGAUAACCUGGACCUAAGGUGAAUGCUGUUGAACUAAUGGUGUCAACUUCAGUGGACAUUAUCAGGGCUAGCUCAGUAGAUAGUACUGGAAAGUAAUUGAUGGAUACCUGAGAUUUUUGUGACAGUACCAGGGACUCAGAGGUGGAGUAUGAUUAUGAUACAAGUGUGGAAAAUAAUGUAGGAUAUCCUGACUUACUGGACGAAUGCUCCAGGGAGAGAGGAAACAUUCACGAGGGAGAUUUAAAACUAAAUUCUGUAGGUAAGUGUGCUCUUAUUUAUUUAAUUUGCCUCUUCCUAACAUUGAAACAGUGUAUUUUAGGCUGAUUACUUAAGCUUAGUGUUAAAAUGUUAGGAAGUAGGGAUCUUCUGUUUAGGAUUAACUUCACAUUUCAAUCCUCUGGAGGAGCAGGCAUUCUUCCCAGGUCUGGUCAGAUGCACUUAAGAGGUAAAUGUAGCUGUUUAUACUCUUCCUGAGGGAAUGAUGAACUCUUUUUUGAAGCUCUGCCUAGUAAUGCAGGGGUGACAAAACAUCCAGAGUAGGGAGAGAGGAGAGAACAGAUCAGGUGUCAGGAAUCUUGCAGCAAAUACACGGAGUUGUGUGUUGUGCCUGCAAGGAUGCAAGGACUGGAGUGUGCUUUAUCUUGAGGGUGCCGUUUUCAUGGUCAGUUGGAGUACGCUGAAGUUCAAGCAGGUUUGGCACAAGCUAAGCAGUAGCAAAAGCUUCUGCCUUUAGGAGGAAAUCCAGGCUCUGCUUGUUUUGAUCACCUAAGAACAUGCUCUAUAAAACAGGGAACUUCUAGCGGACAGCCCAACUUGUCAGCUCCAAAAAAAUGAGUGUGUUCAUGCUUUAUUCCUUUUUGGUUAGUUGGCUGCUUGUACUGGUGCUCCCAACGCUUCUGUUUUCCAGCUAAAGGCAGAGCUGGGACUGGGGGAAGGGAGGGAAUAGGUUCCAGCAAAGCAGACAGCAGCAUCCUGGAAUCCAGACAAAGUACAGCAGCUGGGAGUGGCUGCAACAUGUUUCCUGCAAGCUUCAAACUGGGUGGUAUUGCAUAUUACCUGGCUUUUUUCUGUUGCAUUCAUCACAGCUAGCUUGUAGAUGGAGAACUAAACACUGGCACUUUGUCAUCUAAAGGUGGCUUAGUGGUUGGGAUAUUCAUGAUUAUCAAAGAGGAUUUUGAGUCAAAUGUCUGGCUUCUAUGCAAAAAAAAUUGAGAUCUAAAAUUUAUGGUCACUACAGUAGAUACAAAGUGACUUGCGGCAACAGUAGAAGGAUCUUCCCACUCAGUUCUACAGUGAGCAGCAGCCCUUAAAUAUUUUUAAACCUUUUGAAUGUGAGAGCCAUACCCGCAAAGAAAAUGUAAGUAUGUGUGUAUUAGAGAGCCUUGUUAUGCAGGGAGCAGCGCUGGUUUUUCCUAAAUUUGGCUAAUAGUGACAGAGGCUUUUAGUAAAACUUAUAUUGAGGUUAACUGGAUUUUGCUACAACAGAAAAUGCAAACUUGAGCAUGUUAGCUGCUAAACGCUAAGUCAUGGCAUGAAGCUUUCGUAAUGAAUUAAUAAACACUGCAAUGUCUGUUCUGUAUAACACUGCAAGAGUUCAUUUGAGUAAGUCUUAGCACUUCUGAUAAUUAUCUCACAUCUUUUAAUCCUUACUGCUUUUGAUUCUUGUCUUGCAAACCUUUGGAUAUUAUCUGUCCACUCAGAAAUGUGCCCUUUAACAGCCAUUUAAAGCCAUUGAACCUUUUCUUGCAAACUAUCAAUUCUUACAAAUUUCAGGACAAAGAAAAGCUCUGCUUGUAACAUAGUGAAUUUUAAAGUAUUUAAUAAACCAUGUAUAACAGUCUAUCUCUGCUAGAUUAACCUUUGGAAUAUAUUGUCUGCUUGGGCAAAGUCUUUGCUGGUGGUCAGGUAUUUUUGUAUCCAUUGAUAUUGCUUGAAACAGACUACAAUGUUUUGAUACAUUGCAAAAGUGGAAGGAGCCCUUUCCUUAAAAAAAAAAAAAAACCAACAAAAAAACAACAAACAACCCCCCCAUCACAAUAGCAGUACAGGAAAAAGCCCCACCAGAAUUGUCAUGCAGAAUAGCAGUUGGCUGGUGUAGAACUAGCACAGAAUUGCAUCUGACAGUCUGCUUAACAAAAGUCCAGCUGCACAGAGAUGCCUGCAGCUUUUUCCCUGACAAAUGUCUGGGCUUGCUGUUGUAUUCCCUUCUUUACAGCACUGGUUCUAGCUUUGCUUCCAUUACCACUCUUCCCAGCUGGAGUUUGCCUUUGUUCUUUGCCUCUUUGCUGCAAAUACUCCUAGCUUCUGUGUACCUUACUCAUUGGAGACUUGUCCUGCUGUGAUCUAGCAAUGGCUGGUAGGCAGAGAUUGGCUCUUAGCCCUUCUCAAAAUGAAGUUGGGUUUUUUUGGUUUCAAUUUCUGUUUUAUAAUGUAAGGAAUGUGCAAAUACUUGGGGAAAACGAGCCAAUUUCUAUUUUUACCUGGGUCAGGUGAAUACUACCAUUACUUGUUUAUAUUCUCCCACACAACCUGUAACCUGUCUCUUUCAGAUGUGAGAGAAUAUUAAAGUAGUUUGAAAGCUGUCUUAGCAAAACUGUCUUUAAAAUGAGGUGUUUACCUGCUUCCUUCUUGGUUUCAGGAUACUGUACUUCCUCCCUGUAAGUCUGUUUAUCUUGAGCUAAUAGUAUUUCACCCCAGGUAGCGACUAGCCUCUGUGUAGACUUUUUGCAGGUGUGCAAGAGCAGCAGUGUCACAGUGGUAGAGAUUGUUCUGAAACACUGCAUUUUGUGCAGCCUCAGUAUUGCAGCCUUCAGCAAAAAUAAUGUUGAUUCAGUAUUUGAAAGGGAGUGUUUUACUCAAGUGUUUGUAAUAAAUACAAUGCUUUGUACAAGCCGAUUUAAAAGGAACUGGACUAGUAACACUGGUAGGGAAACACUUGGGUGUUUGUGUCUUCCCAAAUCUGACAGCACUGAAUCUUACUCUUAAACCUAAUUUUUAAUUAUGCUGUUUCUUUAUGGUAUUUUUGUAUUGUGUACUUUGUAUGAGCAUUCAGUGAAUUCUCCCCUUAAAUUAUUUUGAAGUGAGUUCCAGUAUCACUACUGAAAGUCCAUUGCACUUCAGACAUGGAAGCUGCAGCAAAAUGGCUAACCCCAGAACUUAAAUUUACAACAUGGGCUUUAGAUUAUAGUAUGAUUUAGAGGGAGAGACACAGACAUUUUUUUCCAUUGUUCUUAUUAACUUUUUUAA
Molecule: long non-coding RNA, 7125 nt
Organism: Harpia harpyja (harpy eagle)
Lineage: Eukaryota; Metazoa; Chordata; Aves; Accipitriformes; Accipitridae
Exons: 3
Source: RefSeq, a predicted model, not a curated record